RNAcentral lists this ribosomal RNA (497 nucleotides) under uncultured bacterium. RNAcentral's name for it is "partial 16S ribosomal RNA". It matches the Rfam family "Bacterial small subunit ribosomal RNA", at positions 28 to 507 of the family's 1533-position model. The record is from RNAcentral.
GAUGAACGCUGGCGGCGUGCCUAAUACAUGCAAGUCGAGCGAACAGAUGAGGAGCUUGCUCCUCUGACGUUAGCGGCGGACGGGUGAGUAACACGUGGAUAACCCACCUAUAAGACUGGGAUAACUUCGGGAAACCGGAGCUAAUACCGGAUAAUAUAUUGAACCGCAUGGUUCAAUAGUGAAAGACGGUUUUGCUGUCACUUAUAGAUGGAUCCGCGCCGCAUUAGCUAGUUGGUAAGGUAACGGCUUACCAAGGCAACGAUGCGUAGCCGACCUGAGAGGGUGAUCGGCCACACUGGAACUGAGACACGGUCCAGACUCCUACGGGAGGCAGCAGUAGGGAAUCUUCCGCAAUGGGCGAAAGCCUGACGGAGCAACGCCGCGUGAGUGAUGAAGGUCUUGGGAUCGUAAAACUCUGUUAUUAGGGAAGAACAAAUGUGGAAGUAACUAUGCACGUCUUGACGGUACCUAAUCAGAAAGCCACGGCUAACUACGUG